This 474-nucleotide ribosomal RNA is filed under the name uncultured organism. RNAcentral describes it as "partial 16S ribosomal RNA". It matches the Rfam family "Bacterial small subunit ribosomal RNA", at positions 332 to 797 of the family's 1533-position model. The record is from RNAcentral.
UACACUCCUGCGGGAGGCAGCAGUGGGGAAUUUUGGACAAUGGGCGAAAGCCUGAUCCAGCAAUGCCGCGUGUGUGAAGAAGGCCUUCGGGUUGUAAAGCACUUUUGUCCGGAAAGAAAUCCUUGGCUCUAAUACAGUCGGGGGAUGAUGGUACCGGAAGAAUAAGCACCGGCUAACUACGUGCCAGCAGCCGCGGUAAUACGUAGGGUGCGAGCGUUAAUCGGAAUUACUGGGCGUAAAGCGUGCGCAGGCGGUUUGCUAAGACCGAUGUGAAAUCCCCGGGCUCAACCUGGGAACUGCAUUGGUGACUGGCAGGCUAGAGUAUGGCAGAGGGGGGUAGAAUUCCACGUGUAGCAGUGAAAUGCGUAGAGAUGUGGAGGAAUACCGAUGGCGAAGGCAGCCCCCUGGGCCAAUACUGACGCUCAUGCACGAAAGCGUGGGGAGCAAACAGGAUUAGAUACCCUGGUAGUCCCA